Molecule: non-coding RNA, 217 nt
Organism: Pelobates cultripes (western spadefoot toad)
Lineage: Eukaryota; Metazoa; Chordata; Amphibia; Anura; Pelobatidae
Source: the annotation of a GenBank genome assembly
GUAAUCUCUGGGCCGCGUGGCUGGUCCCUUUAAGGGCCCUCCACUACCAGACGCGCGGGUCUCCCCCCUGGGGGUGGUAUCCAAAGAGGAGCAGGGAAAGUACCGUCUGAUUCACCAUUUGUCAUCCCUCCAGGGGGUGUUCGGUGACUGAUGACAUCUCUUCGGUACUCUGCCGAGUAUCUUAUGUGUCUUGACGUGGCGGCUGACAUGGUGAGGG